GACGAACGCUGGCGGCGUGCUUAACACAUGCAAGUCGAGCGGUAAGGCCCUUUCGGGGGUACGACGAGCGGCGAACGGGUGAGUAACACGUGGGUGACCUGCCCUCAGCUCUGGGAUAAGCCUGGGAAACUGGGUCUAAUACCGGAUAUGACUCCAUGACGCAUGUUGUGGGGUGGAAAGCCUUGUGCGGCUGAGGAUGGGCCCGCGGCCUAUCAGCUUGUUGGUGGGGUGAGGCCUACCAAGGCGACGACGGGUAGCCGGCCUGAGAGGGCGACCGGCCACACUGGGACUGAGACACGGCCCAGACUCCUACGGGAGGCAGCAGUGGGGAAGUCUUGCGCAAUGGGCGAAAGCCUGACGCAGCGACGCCGCGUGAGGGA
This 380-nucleotide ribosomal RNA is filed under the name uncultured bacterium. Its description in RNAcentral is "bacterial SSU rRNA". It matches the Rfam family "Bacterial small subunit ribosomal RNA", at positions 28 to 408 of the family's 1533-position model. The record is from RNAcentral.